MicroRNA precursor from Pan paniscus (pygmy chimpanzee), 74 nucleotides. The record is from Ensembl. NCBI's taxonomy places the organism in Eukaryota, Metazoa, Chordata, Mammalia, Primates, Hominidae.
ACUGCUAAUAUCUAAAUGCAGCAUGCCAGUCCUGAGAUGCAGGGACUGGCAUGCUGCAUUUAGAUAUUAGCAGU